AAGGAGUCUGCAAAAGUCUCUUCACAUGAAUUCAAAAUUCAAAUCUCUGAAAACUCCUUCACAUCAUCCAAGAAUUCAAAAUUUAAAACCCUCACUCUCUUCACACCAAAAUCAACUCACAUAAUCCCCACUCUCUUCACACCCAUUCACAUCAUAAUCUCAUCUGGGUUUUGAGAUUAAAACAACAUGUACGGAAGAGAUCCGUGGGGCGGGCCGUUGGAGAUCAACAACGCGAAUUCAGCCCCCGAUGACGACCGGAGCCGGAAUCUGAACGAUUUCGAUAAGGCAGGGCUGUCUCUUUGUAAAGAGCCAAGGGAGUUUGGUUUUGUGUAGUUACAGAGGCAGAUACUAAAAAAUGCACGCAUGUUGAAAGUGGGGCAGGGUAGAAGCAUGGUGACUUAUGGUGUUAUGGCUAGAAGCCAAUAACUGUGUCAACAUCAGCCUCCGUAUUUAAACCCAUAAUCAAGACAAUAAUGGGUUAUUUCUGGUCUGAUCAAGAUGCGGCCUUUGACUUGCCUUGAAGGCCUAUCUAAGCGAGGAUAUAAUAGGUUCAGGUGGAACAACAGGGCAGUCUCAAAGGUUAAUCUUUCUUGUUUGGAGGGUGAUAGUUGCUUGGCUUGGAGAAAUCUGCCUCUAGAGGCGCUGGCUAAACAAGGCUUUUGUCCACCUAAUGGUUAACCAUCGCAACGUGCGGGCAUCCCCAUAUAUUAACAUUUGGGGAAAUAUAUGAAGUUUCAUAAUCAAGUUUAUUGUUCUAUUGAAUUUAGGUCUAAGUUUAAACAUAUACAAAAUCAUAUUUAAUACUACUUCCGUCCCAUUAACAAUAUAAAUUAAUUUU
This 838-nucleotide long non-coding RNA is filed under the name Helianthus annuus (common sunflower). The record is from RNAcentral. Lineage: Eukaryota; Viridiplantae; Streptophyta; Magnoliopsida; Asterales; Asteraceae.